GUUAGUUUCCUUUUUUUAUGGAACGGACGUGUCAAUCUAAGGAUAUUUCUCUUUCUUUCCUCAUCUUCUUUCUCCACCGUGUGGCUUUUAUCUUUGUUCCAAAUUCCAUCAACACUUCGAUCAUCUUGGUCUUGUCGAUGGUUCGCGCUGCUCAGCUCUCAUUUGGAACAUCGAUUGCACCACCAAACCUCCGACUCCCACUGUUCAUGGCGUAUGUUUAAUACGACAAUCGUUCAUCGUGUUAACCGAUUCACGGCCUGAAGACCCUCUUCGUAUGCCUCUCACUCCAUUUGCUUUAGAUUCCAUUCGAUGUUGGCAUUGGCGGGAGUCGGUCUCGACUGAUAGGGAAGCAUGAAGAAGCAAUGUCACCGAAUCUUCUUUUCUUUUGACUUUGGAGUGGAAAAGAAUGAGCGAGGUCCAGAGGUUGGUCGCGACUGAUAGGGAAGCACGAAGAAGCAAUGUCACAGAAUCCCACCACAAUCCGGGUCACCAGCGUGAUUUUGCCCAGUUUCAGGUCUCUUUAACAACUGGAAAGACUUCUGUAAACGUAAGAAAACAGAGCAAAAAUGGUUCCUAAUAAGCAAGCUGAAGGAGCAAUAGUUCCCGGGGAAAUGAAGGGUUCAAAUGAGCAAGAACAAGGAGAGGGGCAGGUAGGGGUAGAUCAGUCAGUGUCUGCCGUCAAGAACUUUCUUUGGCAUGGUGGUUCUGCUUAUAAUGGUCGGUUCAGUUGUGUUUCAAACCAGGUAGCACAAGUGUUGUUGAACUCCCAUACUCAUUCUCUCAAUUGGGUAUGCUUUUAGGAGUCAUCUUUCAAGUCUUUUAUGGACUCCUUGGUCUUGGAAGCUGGACUGCUCUUCAGUGUUCUCUAUGUCCAGUAUAGAGCCAGAAAGGAGACAGAGAAUGUCAGCUUCAGGAACCAUGUUAUUCAGAUGAUCCCACAUGGGAGGAUGUACCCUUACCCAAUGGUUGCAACGUUCCUGGUGGAUUCAUGUGGCGAAUCACCUUACACCAUGGUGACUGUGCAUCGAUUAUUAUAUCAAUAAGGAGAAAGAGGGGUGAUAAAAACAUGGAUGAUCGGAUCUAUUGUGUUUCUGAGCUUCAGUAAGGCACAAAGUUUGCUACUUCAAGUUACUGUUGCUUUGGCUGUGGCAGAAGUUGCAUUUGAGUUUGAACACGGGCUCUUUACACCACCUUUUGUGGACCCAACACUUUGAUUGAAUAACUGAAUAUGAUGGAAUAACCCCUUUCCUUAAAUUCCGAAAUAAUGUAUAAAAAUUUUGGUAGAUAUUCAUAUAUUUAAUGUAAUUUGAAACUUAUUCUAUCUUUUUAUACUUUUAUCGGUUAAAUUGUUAAUAAAUUUUCUAUUUUAGUUACACCAUUUUCAUCCAACUCUUGCCAUUUUAUUUUUACUUAUGCGUUUCAAGGGAAUACGUUGUAAUGUGUCUAUUGCAAACUGAUUAGGUUUUAUUUUUUAUACAGAGGAAGAUAAAGAUCUGGAAUGAUUUUUUUUCUCUCCACAACAGUCUCCGGCCAACAUUCCAGAAGUUGUGAUUCUACAAACAACCUUGCAUGCCAAAUCCCAUUCAAUUUGCAAUCAAUUGCUAUGAACAUCCAACAGUACGUCUGUCCAUACUACUAGACAAGAAACUCAAGAAAGCGUAUCAGGAGAUGUACCAAAUUAUCAAACAUGAUGCAUAGGGAGAAAUACUCUAUUUCAACGUUCUUUUUUAAAUAUUAUCCGUCUUUUUCAUCUUUUGCUUGUGUACGUAUGUAGUCAGUUAGGAUGCAAAUUUUUAUGUUUUCUCACUGUUUCUAUUGAAUAACAUGUUUUAAACCAGUUCCAUUA
Lactuca sativa (garden lettuce) is the source of this 1846-nucleotide non-coding RNA. NCBI's taxonomy places the organism in Eukaryota, Viridiplantae, Streptophyta, Magnoliopsida, Asterales, Asteraceae. The record is from RefSeq and is a predicted model, not a curated record.